UGCCUAUUCGAGCGUCAUUACAACCCUCACGCCCCGCGUGGUCUUGGGUCGAGCCCCCCGGGGCUGGCCUCAAAAGCAGUGGCGGUGCCUCUGGGUCCUGAGCGUAGUAAUACUUCCGCUACAGGGCUCCCGAGUGCGCUGGCCAAACCCCAACUCUCCAGGUUGACCUCGGAUUAGGUAGGGAUACCCGCUGAACUUAA
RNAcentral lists this unclassified non-coding RNA (200 nucleotides) under soil metagenome. RNAcentral's name for it is "partial contains internal transcribed spacer 2 and large subunit ribosomal RNA". The record is from RNAcentral.